This 250-nucleotide ribosomal RNA is filed under the name uncultured prokaryote. RNAcentral describes it as "partial 16S ribosomal RNA". It matches the Rfam family "Bacterial small subunit ribosomal RNA", at positions 524 to 774 of the family's 1533-position model. The record is from RNAcentral.
UACGGAGACUGCGAGCGUUACUCGGAUUUACUGGGCGUAAAGGGUGCGCAGGCGGUUAUGUGUGUUGAGUCUGGAAGUCGGUGACUUAAUUAUCGUGAGGACUCAAAACUGCAUAACUUGGGUAUCGGAUGGGUAAGCGGAAUUCCAGGAGUAGCAGUGAAAUGCGUAGAUAUUUGGAAGAACACCAAAGGCGAAGGCAGCUUACUGGACGAUGACUGACGCUCAGGCACGAAAGCGUGGGGAGCAAAAA